GACCCAGUGGCGAAAUGGUAUCGCAUCCGCGUAACUUACAUUCGGUAGUACCACGUUUCCGCGGAAGGCACCCGUUCGAUUCGGGUCUGGGUCG
This is a non-coding RNA of Mycena latifolia, 94 nucleotides long. The record is from the annotation of a GenBank genome assembly. NCBI's taxonomy places the organism in Eukaryota, Fungi, Basidiomycota, Agaricomycetes, Agaricales, Mycenaceae.